GCAAACUUGGUCAUUUAGAGGAAGUAAAAGUCGUAACAAGGUUUCCGUAGGUGAACCUGCGGAAGGAUCAUUACUGAAGAAAUGAUAGCAGUUGAGCUGACUCUUAGGAGUAUGUGCUCGCUCUAUCGCUUUUUUCUACUUCUCCACUGUGCACCUAUUGUAGGCUGCGAUGACUCUCAAAAAGAGGGAGGUCUUCGGGCCUUCUGUUUGGAUAGAAGGCUAUGCAAUUCACUUUGCUUGCCUUCAAUUUCGUAGCCUAUGUCCAUACAAACUCAUUUGAUAGUCUCUGAAUGUUAUAUUGUUGGUCUUUGAGACCGAUAAAACCUAUACAACUUUCAGCAACGGAUCUCUUGGCUCUCGCAUCGAUGAAGAACGCAGC
RNAcentral lists this unclassified non-coding RNA (379 nucleotides) under uncultured fungus. RNAcentral's name for it is "partial contains small subunit ribosomal RNA, internal transcribed spacer 1, and 5.8S ribosomal RNA". The stretch from base 1 to 73 matches the Rfam family "Eukaryotic small subunit ribosomal RNA", at positions 1759 to 1831 of the family's 1831-position model. Lineage: Eukaryota; Fungi. The record is from RNAcentral.